This is a long non-coding RNA of Salvelinus sp. IW2-2015, 167 nucleotides long. RefSeq lists it as uncharacterized. NCBI's taxonomy places the organism in Eukaryota, Metazoa, Chordata, Actinopteri, Salmoniformes, Salmonidae. The record is from RefSeq and is a predicted model, not a curated record.
ACAGGACACACUGCUGCCUAUCGCCAGGAGUUUAAUAAGAACCUGGAGGAGGAUGUAACAGGAGACACGUCAGGCCACUUCAGGAGACUGCUGGUCAUCCUGCUACAGGCCAGCAGACAGCAGGGGGUACAGGAGGGGAACAUAGAGACUGAUGCACAGGUAAGAGA